This 72-nucleotide transfer RNA is filed under the name Bos taurus (domestic cattle). It matches the Rfam family "tRNA". Rfam says of the family: Transfer RNA (tRNA) molecules are approximately 80 nucleotides in length. Their secondary structure includes four short double-helical elements and three loops (D, anti-codon, and T loops). Further hydrogen bonds mediate the characteristic L-shaped molecular structure. tRNAs have two regions of fundamental functional importance: the anti-codon, which is responsible for specific mRNA codon recognition, and the 3' end, to which the tRNAs corresponding amino acid is attached (by aminoacyl-tRNA synthetases). tRNAs cope with the degeneracy of the genetic code in two manners: having more than one tRNA (with a specific anti-codon) for a particular amino acid; and 'wobble' base-pairing, i.e. permitting non-standard base-pairing at the 3rd anti-codon position. The record is from Rfam by way of RNAcentral. RNAcentral also lists the same sequence under 2 other names. Lineage: Eukaryota; Metazoa; Chordata; Mammalia; Artiodactyla; Bovidae.
UCCCUGGUGGUCUAGUGGUUAAGACUCUGUCUGCCAAUGCAGGGGACAUGGGUUCGAUCCCUGGUCUGGGAA